This 463-nucleotide ribosomal RNA is filed under the name uncultured bacterium. RNAcentral's name for it is "partial 16S ribosomal RNA". It matches the Rfam family "Bacterial small subunit ribosomal RNA", at positions 339 to 795 of the family's 1533-position model. The record is from RNAcentral.
CUACGGGAGGCUGCAGUGGGGAAUAUUGGACAAUGGGCGCAAGCCUGAUCCAGCCAUUCCGCGUGAGUGAAGAAGGCCUUCGGGUUGUAAAGCUCUUUCGCAAGGGAAGAAAACUUAUCCUCUAACAUAGGGUGAGGUUGACGGUACCUUGAUAAGAAGCACCGGCUAACUACGUGCCAGCAGCCGCGGUAAUACGUAGGGUGCGAGCGUUAAUCGGAAUUACUGGGCGUAAAGCGUGCGCAGGCUGUUUUGUAAGUCAGGUGUGAAAUCCCCGAGCUCAACUUGGGAACUGCGUUUGAACUACAAGACUAGAAUAUGUCAGAGGGGGGUAGAAUUCCAUGUGUAGCAGUGAAAUGCGUAGAGAUGUGGAGGAAUACCAAUGGCGAAGGCAGCCCCCUGGGAUAAUAUUGACGCUCAUGCACGAAAGCGUGGGGAGCAAACAGGAUUAGAUACCCGCGUAGUC